Molecule: microRNA, 20 nt
Filed under: Anolis carolinensis (green anole)
Lineage: Eukaryota; Metazoa; Chordata; Lepidosauria; Squamata; Anolidae
Description: aca-miR-5414
Source: miRBase by way of RNAcentral
GGUUCUUGUCCUGGGCUCCC